AACCAUCGACCUAUAUGGCGGUGAGUAUCGAGCGAAUACCUUAACAAUAUAACAAGUCGCUUGGAUCGGAAACGACCGAGACGGCAAA
This is a non-coding RNA of Chloroflexi bacterium RBG_13_51_18, 88 nucleotides long. The record is from Rfam. Lineage: Bacteria; Bacillati; Chloroflexota.